AGUGAAUAGAUACCCCGGUAGUCCUGGCCCUAAACGAUGUCCACUAGAUUGCGGAACCUUGACGGGUUUCGCGGUCGGAGCAAAAAAAGUGUUAAAGUGGACCGCCUGGGAAGUACGGUCGCAAGGCUAAAACUCAAAGGAAUUGACGGGGGCUCACACAAGCGGUGGAGCUUGUGGUUCAAUUCGAAAGCAACGCGCAGAACCUUACCUGGGCUUGACAUGCUUGGAUUAUCCGGAUGAAAGUUCGGUAGGCCCCGCAAGGGGUACAACAAGUACAGGUGCUGCAUGGCUGUCGUCAGCUCGUGUCGUGAGAUGUCGGG
RNAcentral lists this ribosomal RNA (320 nucleotides) under uncultured bacterium. RNAcentral describes it as "bacterial SSU rRNA". It matches the Rfam family "Bacterial small subunit ribosomal RNA", at positions 773 to 1079 of the family's 1533-position model. The record is from RNAcentral.